This 449-nucleotide ribosomal RNA is filed under the name uncultured bacterium. RNAcentral describes it as "partial 16S ribosomal RNA". It matches the Rfam family "Bacterial small subunit ribosomal RNA", at positions 29 to 523 of the family's 1533-position model. The record is from RNAcentral.
AGUGAACGCUGGCGGCAUGCCUAACACAUGCAAGUCGAACGAGAUCUUCGGGUCUAGUGGCGCACGGGUGCGUAACGCGUGGGAAUCUGCCCUUUGGUUCGGAAUAACAGUUGGAAACGACUGCUAAUACCGGAUGAUGACGAAAGUCCAAAGAUUUAUCGCCAGAGGAUGAGCCCGCGUAGGAUCAGCUAGUUGGUGUGGUAAAGGCGCACCAAGGCGACGAUCCUUAGCUGGUCUGAGAGGAUGAUCAGCCACACUGGGACUGAGACACGGCCCAGACUCCUACGGGAGGCAGCAGUGGGGAAUAUUGGACAAUGGGCGAAAGCCUGAUCCAGCAAUGCCGCGUGAGUGAUGAAGGCCUUAGGGUUGUAAAGCUCUUUUACCCGGGAUGAUAAUGACAGUACCGGGAGAAUAAGCUCCGGCUAACUCCGUGCCAGCCGCCGCAGUAA